AUGUGUGAGGAGGUGUCGGCCAGAGUGGGGGUGAACCCUGAGCGGGGUUCCUCCUGUCCUCUGGGAAAUGACCACCCCCUCCUCCCACCCCAGCAGGGAGACAGGAGGUUGGAACAUGCAAACUGCAGACGGGGCUGGUCCUGGGCUCGGCGGUUGAGCCGAGUUCGCAUCCUUCUUGGAAAAAGCACCAGUCAGUGGGGAAAGCGGGGCCUGGAGUCUUCUCUGUCCUCACUGUUGUCACUUGGUCCUGCGGGUCCAUCCCGGGCAAACAGAUCAGCAACAGACGUACAAGGGAGCCAAGGAAUACUAGAGGUCAUUCCACACAACACCUUUCACACAGAUUUAUUGGCAGGGAAACCCCCCAGGAGGGUGGCUCCUCUGCUCAGGCGACAGACAGCACAGAACGAAGCAGAAGGCAGAAUUAUAUAGAGUUUUUUCUUUCUCUUAAGGGGGGUGUGGUUUGGGUGGGUGGAAUUUUUCAGGGUGAAGCUUUCCAGGCUUUGGAUUGCUUGGCUUUCAAGUCCAGAGCUUGGGCUUUU
This 539-nucleotide long non-coding RNA is filed under the name Cricetulus griseus (Chinese hamster). Its description in RNAcentral is "lncRNA (ENSCGRG00000024814.1)". Lineage: Eukaryota; Metazoa; Chordata; Mammalia; Rodentia; Cricetidae. The record is from RNAcentral.